RNAcentral lists this ribosomal RNA (429 nucleotides) under Chloroflexota bacterium. Its description in RNAcentral is "Chloroflexi bacterium partial 16S ribosomal RNA". It matches the Rfam family "Bacterial small subunit ribosomal RNA", at positions 355 to 776 of the family's 1533-position model. Lineage: Bacteria; Bacillati; Chloroflexota. The record is from RNAcentral.
UGGGGAAUAUUGCACAAUGGGCGCAAGCCUGAUGCAGCCAUGCCGCGUGUGUGAAGAAGGCCUUCGGGUUGUAAAGCACUUUCAGCGGGGAGGAAGGCGUUAAGGUUAAUAACCUUGGCGAUUGACGUUACCCGCAGAAGAAGCACCGGCUAACUCCGUGCCAGCAGCCGCGGUAAUACGGAGGGUGCAAGCGUUAAUCGGAAUUACUGGGCGUAAAGCGCACGCAGGCGGUCUGUCAAGUCGGAUGUGAAAUCCCCGGGCUCAACCUGGGAACUGCAUUCGAAACUGGCAGGCUAGAGUCUUGUAGAGGGGGGUAGAAUUCCAGGUGUAGCGGUGGAAUGCGUAGAGAUCUGGGGGAAUACCGGUGGCGAAGGCGGCCCCCUGGACAAAGACUGACGCUCAGGUGCGAAAGCGUGGGGAGCAAACAGG